Nanorana parkeri is the source of this 586-nucleotide long non-coding RNA. RefSeq lists it as uncharacterized. The transcript is spliced from 2 exons. The record is from RefSeq and is a predicted model, not a curated record. Lineage: Eukaryota; Metazoa; Chordata; Amphibia; Anura; Dicroglossidae.
AAAAACACAAUAAUGUAUUAAGAAACAUUUUAUUAACAAAACAAUAAAUUCCACUUGCUUAGCAUUUCCAGUAAUGGAUAAAUUGGCCUUGCAACAAAAUAAAUUCAUUUUCAAUAUCUAUCACACAAACACAAUAAACUGGCUUUGGGCCUCUCGGUUUGAUUUUGGGGAUGACUCAUCUCACACUUUUGAUUUUGUUGUAAAGGCAACACAUUACAGAAUUGGAAAUAAGCCACCUCAUCCAGACUAAGUACAGCAAAUAUACAGGAAAAAAAAGAAAAGGAAAAACCUGUUGCAGAAUAUAAAAUGUACCUACCCUUUCAAUGAAAGGGACCUGAAACGCAAUGCAUCAAAAUGCGUCAGUUGGAUCCUCAUUCUCUGAAAGGAUUAACGUGAUGACAUUAAGAUGCCAAAGCAAAAUUGCAUACAAACUGUGAAUUAAUAAUCCGAAAUAAAACCUGAAGCAAUGGUAAUACAAAUAAAUGCAAAAUUAUCAAAUUAAGGUAUAAAUGAUUAUUGGAGAUAUGAAGUGUUGGCAAAAUAGAUAUAUACAAAGAAACAUUAACAAUUGACACAUUGAUUACAU